Molecule: ribosomal RNA, 253 nt
Filed under: uncultured bacterium
Lineage: Bacteria
Description: partial 16S ribosomal RNA
Rfam family: Bacterial small subunit ribosomal RNA
Source: RNAcentral
GACGUAGGUGGCGAGCGUUGUUCGGAAUCACUGGGCAUAAAGCGCGCGUAGGCGGCUAAGUCAGUCGGGUGUGAAAGCCCUCGGCUCAACCGAGGAACUGCGCCCGAUACUGCUUGGCUUGAGGUCCGGAGGGGAGAGUGGAAUUCCCGGUGGAGCGGUGAAAUGCGUAGAGAUCGGGAAGAACGCCGGCGGCGAAAGCGACUCUCUGGUCGGAAUCUGACGCUGAGGCGCGAAAGCUAGGGGAGCAAACGGG